GCUGGAGACCAGCUUCCUCCAGAGAUGUAACUCAACCUUUCCGAGGUGCGUGGAGCACACAAACAAGUCGCCACAAUCAAUCGUCUGGUGCCGAUAGACGGGGGCAAACCUUGAUGAGGGGUGUGUUUGUGUGUGUGGUGGGGGAUCACAACAAUUGGUUAGCAUGGUCCCGACUAUGCCAACCGUACGAAAAGCGGGAGGGUAUCCGGGGUUCUCCCGGGAUACUACCGAGCAUCCAUUCCACUGUUAGAUCACAACGUCGAUUGACUCACGUGCCGGUCGUGGUUCCAUCCAGGAACUUAUCCACGACGACAUGAUGUAUGACGUGGAAGCUCACGUCAACACCUUCCUCCCCCGUACCCCUCAUCAGCUUGCCAGCGUUGGACGCGACGAUGCCUAGCGUGUAGACGGCUUCUGUGCAGGCGUCCCAUCCAGUGCAAGGUUCAGAUAGCACAGUCUCGGAACGCACCACGAAUCAGUCGAGCAAUUCGCACCAUCCAACAACUGAACGGGGGAUUUAAGCGAAGGAUGCCUCAUAUUAUUGUGCAUCUGUCCCUUACUCAUACAUUGAAUUUCAGCUCUAUCCAGAUAAAUCUUUGCAGUGAUCCGCUUGGGGUCUGGUGCUAUAACUGAAAAUGGCUUUGAGGGUUGUGUUUGGCAUUCUAUUGCUGGUGUUGGUGGCGCAGCAGGCCGCAGCGGGGGGAAGCGGAGGCAAGGAGCGCCGCUGGCCCAAGGAGUUGAAGGAGGAUUUUCAGGUACAUAUGAAGAUCGGUAAAUAGGAAAUAGGUAAAUAGGUAGGUAGGAAGGUAAGGUUGGUGUACCCAACCUUUACCACUUGACCCGGUCGCCUCACUCAUUCGCCAUUCCAUGCCCCCUAGGACACACACACCAUCACCCUAAAAAAACACAUGCACGACGCAACCGGGGCCCCACAUGUUCAUGCGUUGCAGUUUGAGCUCCGCAACAUCUACAGCAACCGGCAGAACGGCAGUCGCUACAAUUUCCUCACCAAGUACCGCUAUCCCAGCAGCUCUGGUGGGUGCAGUACAUUCGUAGGGAACUGUAGCAGUCGCUCACCUGGCGGGUCGACUGACUUAGCGGAAGCGUAGAGUUGACCUCACCGAGGCAGGAAGAAGUCCAACCCAGCGGCAAGCACUAGCGUACAUAGACGUGUACGAAACAAUCAGGGACGGCGGCAGCGGGGUCUUGAACUCCGAACACCUAGUAAUGUGAUACGUCAAUGUCCGGCCAGAGCACCCCGCCCGGGUAGCUUAUAUCUCGGCCUACCUGCCGGAGAUUCCCUACCACGGUCUUGCCGUACUAGGAUAAUGUUGGUGGGGCCCGGGGCCCCAGCCCGUUAGGUUCGCUUACGAACAACCGCCAUGUUCGAUACAUGUGACGAAGCUCGUAACAUGUACGAAACUUGAGACGAAUCGUUAACGAAUUAACAGUUAUUGUUAAAAGUAUUUGUUGAAAUAUUCUAAGGGAAAUGUAGCUUGCUACAGGAAUGAUAAAGCCGUACGGACCAGGCAGGGGGCCACAUUUCGCUCCAUUCGGAGGCAGUGGUGCUGCGCGCCGUGCUGUGCGGCGCUAUGCAAUGGAAUGCUUUGCCUCAUUCGUUGUGCUGCGCUGUGUUGUGCUUGUCUACUGCAGAGGCAUUCGAUUUCCAUGAGGCGGAAGAGAUUAUCCUGAAGUUCGUGCCUGCCGGUGGCAUGGGCAUCCCAGGCAACGCAUUCACUGAAGUCCUUUCCCUCGCCAUCGCUAAGGCGCUCUGGGCGAAGUUUAACCUUGUCGGCUUGAGCUUCCGCAUCGAGGUGCAGGUGUGUGUGUGGCCCUGUGUGCGGGUGAUGGCGGCUAAUGUGAGGCCGCCACAUCAGCCCCCGAUGAUAAGGUUCAGCUAUGUUUACCUAGGGCGAACGAGACCUCGAGAUGCAAAUGCACAGGAUCGACUACUUACGAUUUCAAACCAAGCAGGACGAUAUGGAUUGAACGGGCGUAGCUGGGACUCGCCAUGCCGCGUGCCGUACCGUGGUACGGCAGAUUGCGCGCAUCUGUGUCCUCGCUUAUAUGUUUGUAGUACGACACCGGAAUCUGGUUGUUUCUGGUCAUUGAUGCCAGGGGUCGCGGCUGCGGCCGCAGUGCCCACACUACCCACCCAAGCUGACCGCCUUUCUUCAAUGCCAUUCAAACAUGUAACCGGCGCCAGCUGGUUCGCCCACCUUCAUUUGCAUACGUUUUUGGCCUUUCUGGCUCGGUGCGAGUUUUGUACUUGUACAUACAUGCAGGGUAUGUCAUCGGACGUCCGGAGUCACUAUGCCUCCACCGUCACCGUGGGAGAUAUCGAACCUUGGGUCUCCCUCGUCAACAACUUCCCCGGCUGUGACGGAAUGGAUACGGACGAGGGCAACAAGGCCUGCCGCGUCUAUCCCAUUUUGAACGGCAAGGACCGCGACCUGGCUGCAACUGCUGCUAAGAAGGCUGGCAAGCACGACAAGCCCAAGUACUGCGAUUUCUGCGGCUAAUCGCAUGUCACACAUACGCAUGGUGGUGAUCCUUGGUUAUCUACUAUAGCAGUACAUCAAGACGUGUUGAACGAUUUGUGGAAGGACAUGUCUUCAAGGGUGUGAGGCUUAAAUUUGUAUGAUCAGCCGCAUGUGCAUUAUUAUGUUCUAUAUGUGUGAUCAUAGGCAAGCAUGUGUACGGCGGUAGGGGUAUUACACAUGACGAAAGUCAGUAGAGCAUCAUAUACAUGGGUAAGGAGGCACGGGGGACACAGUUCAGUUACUAUCGGCUCACCUGCAUGGGUUUACCUGCACUAGGUGGGUAGAGCUGGAGUCUAAGCACAGUGAUGUGGUCAUCAGUGAGUUUGCUCUGGCACCAGCGACAACCUCGUGGCCCGUAAAAGUCCGUUUAAUGGCUGGAGAUUACCACAGCUGCCUGAUCUCCGAGAUGGGAGUCCCACAAGCUGAACAUAACUCCGCUUGGCUACCAAAGCAGCCAGGGCAAGAAUCGCUGUUACUAUCCUUUCCAGCGCACCGAGUUGCUCGUAGGUUUAGUCGUAGCCGAGCUUGCUGAGGUGUUGUGCGUGCCGGUACGGACCGCUUGUCCUUCCUUUCCAGGCCUGUGUCGAUUACAGCGACAGGCGACGUGCCCUUUGGCUCGGUUUCUUUGCAUUACAGUAUAGAACCUUGGCAGCCCGAUGUAAUAACAACAACAAUAACAACAUAAUAACAACAGCCGGGUCAAAAGCCUGGCCAGGGGAUGAAGCUGAGUAAUGCAGUCACGUACGUGACAAGCAAAUCGUGUCUCUGUUAUCGCAGAUGGUAAUCAUAAUAAUUAUUAUUAUGAUAACGAAGGAAACAGUAACCAAGAUGAUAUUAGAUAUGGAUGGUUUGCUACGCCCCCUUGACACCCUCCCCACCUUUUCCCGCUGAUACUGUCGUUCGCGCAUACUGUCGUUCGCGCAUCCGAUGGCAUCCCCGCCGUGACCGCAGCAGGCAAUGCAGCAGACCGUCGUUCAACGAAGUCCAGGAAGUUGCAUGUUUGUUUUUACUGGUGCCUCGGCUUUGGAGAGUAGUGAGGUAGUGCACUUAGAAUAGUGAGGUAGCGCACUUAGGAGAAUGACGACGCCUCCUAUAUAUAGCCAACACAACUGAAAAAGGGUGAAACUGACUUUGGAGGCUAAUAGAAGGAAAGGUCCUGAUGAGGCAUCAACUGCAAGGAAUUUGAACCAGGGAAGGUUUGGGCAGCGUAAGCCGAAGUAUGAACUGCCAGCAAAAGGAAGGUGCUGCGUUCUGGCCAGUUGGAUGGCAAGAUGUGAAAUCCGGCCGUCGUCGGCUGUCGUCAAGCCGGCUACAGCCAUGUGCAGCAGUAAUGUGCAGUUAGUCCUGCGGCGUGCACGUAGGCUGAACUGCACGUCUGUGAACGAUGCCACAAACUGGCAUGAGCAUCAGUAGGCCGAAAGGAAGGGGCCCAGGCAGUGCACACGUGCAUAUGUGCAUGUACGUGUGGGUAUGUGCGUGUGUGUAUGGGUGUGACUGGGUGUGUGUGUAUGCGUGUGUAUGUGUGUUUUACAUCACCUAACCGGGUUCCGAUACCUGACCAAGGGGCAGCUACUGGACCUGACACUGACCAGGGAUGCAGGGUCCCUGCCCUGACGGAGGGCAGCAGUCGUCAGCAGUCUAGUCGCUCUCCGACACAGGAAGAGAGGGCCUUGAGGGGUGGGCUGCUGACCCCAUCGUGGCGAGUGCACCUACCGUGUAUACACGUAUGUUGUUACAGGGUGGUUAACUUCGCCAACGGCCCCCUUUCCCGAGGCAGUCCCUGCUCUCCCCUGCUAGAGGGGCACCCUAAUCCGUAUGUAUGUAUGAAUAGGACCCCAUGCGUGGUCAACCCCGGAAGCACCUACUCCUCAAGCCCCGAUUUGCUGGAAAACUCCUGAACCCCUACGCCGCGUUACGUCGGUCUAUCUGUAUGUAUGCAUGUAUGAGCGCGCGGCUCAGGCUCCUCAUGAGCUCCUCGCGAAUAGGUCGCAUGUACCACUACAGUGGUAGGUCCACCGCCAGAAAGUCCGGCGGUACCCGGGGGCACUUCCAGGGACCCCGCCUUGCGAGUUCGCAAGGAAGCAAAGCAAAGCAAAGCGAAGGCUGAAGAAAUUAGAGGUGGAGCAGAUUAGAGAGGUCAGCCAUGGUGGCCGCAGUCGGCAGCUGAAGCCCGGUCAGUGAAACCCUUCGACCCGGGUACACAAUUACAAGGAUUCGUGUUCCUAAGCAAUUCCUAGUUCUAGUACCCCAUUGCUAAGUCCCGCUCCGCCUACCACAAAUCAAAGCGUGGGCACAAAAAGCACGGCAUUCUCGACAGAUGCCCAUUUACCAUCUGUACCUGAACAUGCGUGCAUGGUUCAGCAUGCAUGAGACAUGUGCAUACACGCAUAUGCACAACGGUGCAGCAUGCGGGGAACCCCGACCCCGAUCGGGCCCGAGUGCCCGAGAAGCACACCAUGUUGACACUACCCUAGCUACCGGCCUGUACGGAUGCCCCCGCGGGGCCCCCGCCCUAUUUCCAACUUCAAGGAAGCCAACACCCGACUUGUCUCUUCCGUGUAUAUUCUUGAGUACUAGAACGUUUCCAUUGUACUAUGUCCCUAACCUAACUUGUGGUUCUUAGGCUCUUGGACCUCUGGCUCGUACGGGCCUGUCACACCUCUCUGGGUAAUUUGCAAAGGCCGGCUGGAGACCAGCUUCCUCCAGAGAUGUGACUCAACAUUUCCUAGGUGCGUGGAGCACACAAACAAGUCGCCACAAUCAAUCGUCUGGUGCCGAUAGACGGGGGCAAAACUUGAUGAGGGGUGUGUUUGUGUGUGUGGUGGGGGAUCACAAUAACUUGGUUAGCAUGGUCCCGACUAUGCCAACCGUACAAAAAGCGGGAGGGUAUCCGGGGUUCUCCCGGGAUACUACCGAGCAUCCAUUCCACCGUUAGAUCACAACGUCGAUUGACUCACGUGCCGGUCGUGGUCCCAUCCAGGAACUUAUCCACGACGACAUGAUGUAUGACGUGUGAGCUCACGUCAACACCUUCCUCCCCCGGGCGAAUAUGUAGCGGUUGUAUUCGUCACACCCAUUUACUAUAAUGGUGGCAAAUGUCCGUACCCCUCAUCAGCUUGCCAGCGUUGGACGCGACGAUGCCUAGCGUGUAGACGGCUUCUGUGCCGGCGUCCCAUCCAGUGCAAGGUUCAGAUAGCACAGUCUCGGAACGCACCACGAAUCAGUCGAGCAAUUCGCACCAUCCAACAACUGAACGGGGGAUUUAAGCGAAGGAUGCCUCAUAUUAUUGUGCAUCUGUCCCUUACUCAUACAUUGAAUUUCAGCUCUAUCCAGAUAAAUCUUUGCAGUGAUCCGCUUGGGGUCUGGUGCUAUAUCUGAAAAUGGCUUUGAGGGUUGUGUUUGGCAUUCUAUUGCUGGUGUUGGUGGCGCAGCAGGCCGCAGCGGGGGGAAGCGGAGGCAAGGAGCGCCGCUGGCCCAAGGAGUUGAAGGAGGAUUUUCAGGUACAUAGGAUAAUCGGUAAAUCGGUAAAUAGAAAAUAGGUAAAUAGGUAAAUAGGUAGGUAGGGAGGUAGGGCUGAUGUACCCAACCUUUACCACUUGACCCGGUCGCCUCACUCCCUCAUUCGCCAUUCCAUGCACCCUUCCCCCCUAGGACACACACACCAUCACACUAAAACACACACGCACGACGCAACCAGGGCCCCACAUGUUCAUGCGUUGCAGUUUGAGCUCCGCAACAUCUACAGCAACCGGCAGAACGGCAGUCGCUACAACUUCCUCACCAAGUACCGCUAUCCCAGCAGCUCUGGUGGGUGCAGUACAUUCGUAGGGAACUGACAAAGCCGUACGGACCAGGCAGGGGGCCACAUUUCGCUCCAUUCGGAGGCAGUGGUGCUGCGCGCCGAAUGCUUUGCCUUCCUGUGUGCUGCAACGCGCUGUGCUGUGCUCGUCUACUGCAGAGGCAUUCGAUUUCCAUGAGGCGGAAGAGAUUAUCCUGAAGUUCGUGCCUGCCGGUGGCAUGGGCAUCAAAGGCGACGCAUUCACUGAAGUCCUUUCCCUCGCCAUCGCUAAGGCGCUCUGGGCGAAGUUUAACCUUGUCGGCUUGAGCUUCCGCAUUGAGGUGCAGGUGUGUGUGGGGCCCUGUGUGCGGGUGAUGGCGGCUAAUGUGAGGCCGCCUCAUCAGCCCCGAUGAUAAGGUUCAGCUAGGUUUACCUAGGGCGAACGAGACCUCGAGAUGCAGAUGCACAGGAUUACGUACGAUUACAAACCAGUCAGGAAGGAUUUAGGACAAUGUGGAUUGAACGGGCGUAGCUGGGACUCGCCAUGCCGCGUGCCGUACCGUGGUACGGCAGAUUGCGCGCAUCUAUGUCCUUCGAGGACUUGCGACGUUUAUUUAAUUUGUAGUACGAUACCGGAGUAAUAAUAUCAGGGGUCGCGACUGCGCCCACAAAUUUUAACGGUGGCAGCGCCCACGCUACACCCAAGCUGACCAUCCCUGUCAAUUCCAAUCAAUACGUAACCGGCGCAGGGUUCGACACUGACUUUCCUGAAACUUGCGGGAUCCCCCGUACCUCCCAAAUUUUCCCUACGGAGGGGCCCCCGUACCAGGCUCCUGUACUGGCCGAAAACCUUACGGGGGCCCCCGUAACCCCGCAAAACCUUUUCGGGGACACUGUCCUUGGCUAAAACGCUGUGGAAAGUGACACUUUGCAUUUUUUGCCCUGUAAAUCGUUAUUUAUGUUAUUUUCCCGUGAACCAUUACACACGGGGGCACGGCACACUCAGCGAAAGCCAAGCGCCUUGGCCGCCGCGGCCGCCCAUCCCUUCUGCUCCUCUUUCGCGUCCUCCUCCUCAUCAACAAAAUCCUCAUCCACGGACGACUCAUCGGUAUCUCGUUCUACGUCGGUCUCGUAGUCACUGUCACUAAAAGCCUCAUCGUCACUAGCGGGAUAUGUUGCUUGUACCAGUACUUCAAUCUCUGGGUCCGUCGCAACCUCCUCGUUAUCAUCCUCUCCGUAUGGAUUCAAAUUAAUUUUGCUAACGUCAGAAAACAACUUGUGAAUAAUGCCUGUAUAACCCUUACGCGAGUAGAUCCCAGUAGCCUGAUCAAUCAGUGGCUUCGCCCCGGUAUCAGCAGCAGGUCCCAACAUGCCCACAUCCAGCUUUAGCCGGUUCGUCAGGCGAUUCUUAAUAAUACGAUGCCGGCUAAAUCCGCGCUCAACACAUGCCGUCUGUGUUGGCAGGAUUGUAGCGACUUGAGCCAAACGCAUCAUACGCUGCCAUCGCUGGAUGUUAAAGACUGGAAGCUAUAAAAGUAUUAUGAAAAGUGAAGUUAAAUAUUGCAAUAUGAAUUAUGCCUACCAAGUGUGUGGCUUUAUCCUUUAUAUGGUCCGUCCUCUCCCCUACAGGGCCCCGUAAGGCCUCUUAUUGUCUGCCAUCGCUGGAUGUUACAGACCAGAAGCUAUAAAAAUAUUAUGAAAAGUGUAGUUACAUAUUGCAAUAUGAAUUAUGCCUGCCAAGUGUGGGGCCUUAUCCUUUAUAUGGUCCGUCCUCUCCCCUACAGGGCCCCGUAAGGCAUCUUAUAAAUCCUUAAAUUUCUUACGGGAGUCACCGUAACCGGCCUUCGCCCUGUUCGGGGUCGGCCCCGUACGGGGCGCUUCGCGCCCCAAAAUCUUUACGGGAGCCACCGCAAAGUCCUACGGACCCGUACGGGGAUACCGAAAAAAGGCCAAAAACUUACGGGCCCCGUACGGGGUGUCGAACACUGAACCGGCGCCAGCUGGUUCACCCACUCUUCGCUUGCAUACUUUUUGGGCCUUUCUGGCUCGGUGCGAGUUUUGUACUUGUACAUACAUGCAGGGUAUGUCGUCGGAUGUCCGGAGUCACUACGCCUCCACCGUCACCGUGGGAGAUAUCGAACCUUGGGUCUCCCUCGUCAACAACUUCCCCGGCUGUGACGGAAUGGAUACGGACGAGGGCAACAAGGCCUGCCGCAUCUAUCCCAUUUUGAACGGCAAGGACCGCGACCUGGCUGCCAUUGCUGCUAAGAAGGCUGGCAAGCACGACAAGCCCAAGUACUGCGACUUCUGCGGCUAAUCGCAUAUCAUGCGAUAAUGCGCAUGGUGGUGAUCCUUCGUUUCUACUAGCGGUACAUCAAGACGUGGAUGAACGUAGCUGCCAGGGUGUGAGGCUUAAUUGUAUGGUCAAGCCGCAUAUGUAUUCUCUUUUGAUGUGUGUGAUCAUAGGCAAGCAUGUGUACGGCGGUAGGGGUGUUACACAUGACGGAAGUCAGUAGAGCAUCAUAGACCAUCAUGCACAUGGGGGAAGAGGCUGGGGGACUCAGUGCAGGUUAGUAUCGGGUCAGUUGCUGUCGGGAGGCGGAUGGUACAGCGCCACCUGCAUGGGUAUAGCUGCACUGAGUGGAAUCAUCAUCUGAAGACAGUGAUGCGGUCAUCAGUUUCCAUUUCCUCUGGAACACAAGCAAACUCGUGGCUUAGUGGCUGUCCGUUGUAAUGAACACGCAAUUCUCUGUCUAGGUACCACAGCUGCCUGAUCUCCCACAAGCAUGCUCUCCGCUUGGCUGCCAAAGCAGGCAGGGAUUCUUUUCAGAACACUGAGUUAGUCCUGGUCGUAGUCGUAGCGGAGCUUGCUGCAUGCCGGACCACUUGUUCUUCCUUUCCAUGUCUGUGUCUAUUACAGCGACAGGCGAUGUGCCCUUUGCGGCAAUAACGGCGUCUAAUUUGAACCAGGGAAGAUUUGGGCAGCGUAAGCCGAAAUAUGAACUGCCAGCAAAAGGAAAGGUGCUGCGUUCUGGUCAGUUGGAUGGCAAGAUGUGAAAUCCGGCCGUCAUCGGCUGUCGUCAAGCCGGCUACAGCCAUGUGCAGCAGUAAUGUGCAGUUAGACAUGCGGCGUGCACGUAGGCUGAAGUGCACGUGUGUGAACGAUGCCACAAACUGGCAUGAAUAUCAGUAGGCCGAAAGGAAGGGGCCCAGGCAGUGCGCACGCGCAUGUGUGUAUGUACGUAUGUGCGUGCGUGUGUGUAUGGGUGUGACUGGGUGUGUGUGUGUGCGUGUGUAUGUGUGUUUUACAUCACCUAACCGGGUUCUGAUACCUGACCAAGGGGCAGCUACUGGACCUGACACUGACCAGGGAUGCAGGGUCCCUGCCCUGACGGAGGGCAGCAGUCGUCAGCAGUCUAGUCGCUCUCCGACACAGGAAGAGAGGGCCUUGAGGGGUGGGCUGCUGACCCCAUCGUGGCGAGUGCACCUACCGUGUAUACACGUAUGUUAUUACAGGGUGGUUAACUUCGCCAACGGCCCCCUUUCCCGAGGCAGUCCCUGCUCUCCCCUGCUAGAGGGGCACCCUAAUCCGUAUGUAUGUAUGAAUAGGACCCCAUGCGUGGUCAACCCCGGAAGCACCUACUCCUCAAGCCCCGAUUUGCUGGAAAACUCCUGAACCCCUACGCCGCGUUACGUCGGUCUAUCUGUAUGUAUGCAUGUAUGAGCGCGCGGCUCAGGCUCCUCAUGAGCUCCUCGCGAAUAGGUCGCAUGUACCACUACAGUGGUAGGUCCACCGCCAGAAAGUCCGGCGGUACCCGGGGGCACUUCCAGGGACCCCGCCUUGCGAGUUCGCAAGGAAGCAAAGCAAAGCAAAGCGAAGGCUGAGGACAUUAGAGGUGGAGCAGAUUAGACAGGUCAGCCAUGGUGGCCGCAGUCGGCAGCUGAAGCCCGGUCAGUGAAACCCUUCGACCCGGGUACACAAUUACAAGGAUUCGUGUUCCUAAGCAAUUCCUAGUUCUAGUACCCCAUUGCUAAGUCCCGCUCCGCCUACCACAAAUCAAAGCGUGGGCACAAAAAGCACGGCAUUCUCGACAGAUGCCCAUUUACCAUCUGUACGUGAACAUGCAUGCAUGGUUCAGCAUGCAUGAGACAUGUGCAUACACGCAUAUGCACAACGGUGCAGCAUGCGGGGAACCCCGACCCCGAUCGGGCCCGAGUGCCCGAGAAGCACACCACGUUGACACUACCCUAGCCACCGGCCUGUACGGAUGCCCCCGCGGGGCCCCCGCCCUAUUUCCAGCUUCAAGGAAGCCGACACCCGACUUGUCUCUUCCGUGUAUAUUCUUGAGUACUAGAACGUUUCCAUUGUACUAUGUCCCUAACCUAACUUGUGGCUCUUAGGCUCUUGGACCUCUGGCUCGUACGGGCCUGUCACACCUCUCUGGGUAAUUUGCAAAGGCCGGCUGGAGACCAGCUUCCUCCAGAGAUGUGACUCAACAUUUCCUAGGUGCGUGGAGCACACAAACAAGUCGCCACAAUCAAUCGUCUGGUGCCGAUAGACGGGGGCAAAACUUGAUGAGGGGUGUGUUUGUGUGUGUGGUGGGGGAUCACAAUAACUUGGUUAGCAUGGUCCCGACUAUGCCAACCGUACAAAAAGCGGGAGGGUAUCCGGGGUUCUCCCGGGAUACUACCGAGCAUCCAUUCCACCGUUAGAUCACAACGUCGAUUGACUCACGUGCCGGUCGUGGUCCCAUCCAGGAACUUAUCCACGACGACAUGAUGUAUGACGUGUGAGCUCACGUCAACACCUUCCUCCCCCGGGCGAAUAUGUAGCGGUUGUAUUCGUCACACCCAUUUACUAUAAUGGUGGCAAAUGUCCGUACCCCUCAUCAGCUUGCCAGCGUUGGACGCGACGAUGCCUAGCGUGUAGACGGCUUCUGUGCCGGCGUCCCAUCCAGUGCAAGGUUCAGAUAGCACAGUCUCGGAACGCACCACGAAUCAGUCGAGCAAUUCGCACCAUCCAACAACUGAACGGGGGAUUUAAGCGAAGGAUGCCUC
This 11379-nucleotide long non-coding RNA is filed under the name Volvox carteri. RNAcentral's name for it is "long non-coding RNA (VCAR_LNC003049)". Lineage: Eukaryota; Viridiplantae; Chlorophyta; Chlorophyceae; Chlamydomonadales; Volvocaceae. The record is from RNAcentral.